UACGGAGGGUGCGAGCGUUAAUCGGAUUUACUGGGUUUAAAGGGUGCGCAGGCGGUUGUUUAAGUCAGGGGUGAAAGCCCUAUGCUCAACAUAGGGAUUGCCUUUGAUACUGAACGGCUAGAGUGAAGAUGGAGUGGGUGGAAUGUGUUGUGUAGCGGUGAAAUGCAUAGAUAUAACACAGAACACCGAUCGCGAAGGCAGCUCACUAAUUUUCAACUGACGCUCAUGCACGAAAGCGUGGGGAUCAAACAGG
RNAcentral lists this ribosomal RNA (253 nucleotides) under uncultured microorganism. Its description in RNAcentral is "partial 16S ribosomal RNA". It matches the Rfam family "Bacterial small subunit ribosomal RNA", at positions 524 to 776 of the family's 1533-position model. The record is from RNAcentral.